CUGAGUAUAAGAUGAACCAUAGGCUAAACAUUUGCUAUAGUAAGACCAUGCACAUGUCCCUAGGCCUAGUUCUUUCCCUAGGUCUGGUUUUCUAAAUGCUAGUGACAAAC
This is a small nucleolar RNA of Nannospalax galili (Upper Galilee mountains blind mole rat), 110 nucleotides long. Its record names the gene SNORA72. It matches the Rfam family "Small nucleolar RNA SNORA72". Rfam says of the family: U72 is a member of the H/ACA class of snoRNAs. The snoRNA gene is located in intron 4 of the ribosomal L30 protein gene in human, mouse and chicken. The record is from Ensembl. NCBI's taxonomy places the organism in Eukaryota, Metazoa, Chordata, Mammalia, Rodentia, Spalacidae.